Molecule: ribosomal RNA, 508 nt
Filed under: Xerocomus sp. TO-2011a
Lineage: Eukaryota; Fungi; Basidiomycota; Agaricomycetes; Boletales; Boletaceae
Description: eukaryotic LSU rRNA
Rfam family: 5.8S ribosomal RNA (bases 217-371)
Source: RNAcentral
GGGGGAUNUGGAGGGGAAGACUGUCGCUGGCUUUCACUGGGAAGCAUGUGCACGCCUUUCGUUUCGUCGACCUUUCUCUUACUCUCACACCUGUGCACACAUUGUAGGUCCUCGAAAGAGGAUCUAUGUCUUUAUCAUCACACACAUAGCAUGUCUAGAAUGUAUCAUGAUCGUCGACCGACUUUGCGGUCGGGCGGUGGUCAAACAAAUAAAUACAACUUUCAGCAAAGGAUCUCUUGGCUCUCGCAUCGAUGAAGAACGCAGCGAAUUGCGAUAAGUAAUGUGAAUUGCAGAUUUUCAGUGAAUCAUCGAAUCUUUGAACGCACCUUGCGCUCCUUGGUAUUCCGAGGAGCAUGCCUGUUUGAGUGUCAUUGAAUUCUCAACCAUGUCUUGAUUGAUUUCGAGGCAUGGCUUGGACUUGGGGGUUGCUGGCGGCGAAAGCGGUCGGCUCUCCUGAAAUGCAUUAGCAAAGGACAGCAAGUCUGACGUGCACGGCCUUGACGUGAUA